UCCCAUACACAUAAUUCUGUGUGGAGACAAACUUCUUGUUUGAGAAUGUUGUUAGGAUACAGUAUUGCCUUUGUGCUAAUUUCAUAUUCUUAUGGACAGUCCCUGACCUCCUCUGCUUCUGUUGUGAAGAGACCUGGAGAGUCAGUCACUCUGUCCUGUACUGUGUCUGGAUUCUCUUUGAGUGGUUACUACAUGCACUGGAUCCGUCAGAAACCAGGACGAGGACUAGAAUGGAUCGGGCGCAUUGACGAUGGCAGUAGCACUGGCACUACAUUUCCUCCGUCUCUGCAGGGACAGUUCUCCAUCACUAAAGACACCAAUAAAAACAUGGUGUAUCUAGAAGUGAAGAGUCUGAAAGCUGAAGACACGGCUGUUUAUUACUGUACACGAGACACACAGUGA
Molecule: non-coding RNA, 402 nt
Organism: Clarias gariepinus (North African catfish)
Lineage: Eukaryota; Metazoa; Chordata; Actinopteri; Siluriformes; Clariidae
Source: the annotation of a RefSeq genome assembly